UGGGGGGAGAAUGGCUAUAUAUCACCGGUAUAAAAAAAAAAAACACACACACACAGACCCACACACGUCCUGCGUUUGUCUGGUCACGCAUUGUCUUUCACGAUCGAGAUAAAACGUUACCCAAUCUUUCACUGUCAAUUUUUAUGAAAAAUCAACAAAAUUCAGUGUUUUUAAAAACACAAUAAACGGUUUCAAGGGAAAACAA
This 205-nucleotide long non-coding RNA is filed under the name Mytilus galloprovincialis (Mediterranean mussel). Lineage: Eukaryota; Metazoa; Mollusca; Bivalvia; Mytilida; Mytilidae. The record is from RNAcentral.